Molecule: small nuclear RNA, 137 nt
Filed under: Zalophus californianus (California sea lion)
Lineage: Eukaryota; Metazoa; Chordata; Mammalia; Carnivora; Otariidae
Description: U2 spliceosomal RNA (ENSZCAG00015011632.1)
Rfam family: U2 spliceosomal RNA
About the family: U2 is a small nuclear RNA (snRNA) component of the spliceosome (involved in pre-mRNA splicing). Complementary binding between U2 snRNA (in an area lying towards the 5' end but 3' to hairpin I) and the branchpoint sequence (BPS) of the intron results the bulging out of an unpaired adenosine, on the BPS, which initiates a nucleophilic attack at the intronic 5' splice site, thus starting the first of two transesterification reactions that mediate splicing.
Source: RNAcentral
ACCACUUCUCAGCCUUUUGGCUAAGAUCAAGUGAUUUUAAAUGUUAUCUAAUAUAGUCAGUGUGGCAUGUAUGACAAUAUUUUUUACAUGUGAAUUUGCCUAGUUUUCCCUUCUGCCCUAGAAUAAGUUUAGUUCUU